AUGGCGUCCCCGCGUGCCCCCGACUGGCCCCGUGGCCUCAUCUUUGCCCCCGGCGACGCCGAUUUUAUAACAAUCCACCUCCAGCGCAAGAUCUCCGGGUCCUCGCUCCCCGCCGCCGACGCCCGGUACAUCCACAACGCGGACGUGUACGCGGCCGAGCCCGCCGCGCUCGUCACCGGCCUCCUCUCCGCCUCGGCGAGGAGCGACGGCGAGGGCAGGGAGUGGUACUUCUUCACCUCCGUGCGGGCCCAGAGCAGCCGGGACACCCGCAGGUGCCGCGCCGUCGCGGGUGGAGUCGGCAUCUGGCAUUCGGAGAAGGCGCGGUGCGUCGUGCUCGACGGGGGCGGCGCCGUCGUCGGGUACCGCCAAUCCUUCACCUACGAGCCCAAGAACGGCUGGCUGAUGCUCGAGUUCAGCCAACAAGAACCCCGCCGCGGCGAGGCCAUGCCCGUCCUCUGCAAAAUCUACCAGAAGCGUCGUGCCGGCCGGUCCGCCUCGAAGACGAUUUCGUCUGGGUCGUCGUCGAUGUCGGGAUCCAAGAGGAAGGCGGCGGCCGCGGACGAGCGCCCCGUCGAGGGUUCCUCGGCCCGCGUGAGGCGAUGCCUGCAGUUCCGUCCGCCUCCUGCCGCACCAAAUCCGCCCGCACUGUUUGCUACAUCGGGGAUUCAAGAAGCGUUCUUGCUUUCAGUCGAGCGGCCGCAGGCAGAGCAAGAACCAGAGGAGCCGCAAGAACCGCCGGUACGCAUAGCACACACAGCCACACCGCUGAUUCCCAGCUUCUCCAUGGCGCCGACCACGCCCUGA
This 804-nucleotide ribosomal RNA is filed under the name Triticum aestivum (bread wheat). RNAcentral's name for it is "partial small subunit ribosomal RNA". The record is from RNAcentral. Lineage: Eukaryota; Viridiplantae; Streptophyta; Magnoliopsida; Poales; Poaceae.